AUGAAAUCCACGCUACCGUCCAAGGCGUUUCGCCAUCGGUCUUGGGCGUCUGUCAUCUCUGCUACCGGUGGCUCGGCCACCCAGCCUGAUGUGCAGUCUGCUCUGGCUGAUCAAAUCGCGCAGCUGCAGGGUUGGAUGACGCGGGUUGAGAGCUUUCUGGAGAGGGCAGAGGCUGUACUGGACAAGCUCUCCUUAGGGCCAACUAUGUUGUCAACCAGUCUGUUGUCAUGCCCUCCUGGUGUGGCCGGUGUUGCCACCACGGAGGAAGGAAGCCAAGAGCUAUAUGGAUGUUUCUCUCCUCGUGCUGGGGACAACACACCGUCACUAUCAACCUUCUCUCUUGUGCUGCCUACCAUUGAGGGCGAGCCCAGCGCCGUGCUCAAGUCUUCGGUUCUACAGAUCAUGCCCGACCUACAGGAGCUAUGUCUUAGCCCUGUUUUGCCUUUGUCUGUGGAGCGCUUGGAGGUGGACUCAUUAGUGACCUGGUGUGAGGGGCAUGUUUCGCCUCUGUCACAUGAGCAAGUGGAGGUGCCUGAGGCGAUUGUGUCAGUGGUUCCUAUGGGCGAUGUUGUCGUCUCAGUGGUUUCUAUGGCUGAUGAUGUUGAGACGGACGAUAUGUUAGCGCCUGACCCUUUGGAGCCCAGCCAGUCGCUCGCCUUUGUGGACGGCGGAGGUUCCGACGUUCCGGUCACCAACUCACACGUGACCGUUGGGCACGUGAUGUCUGUGCGUGACAAGGUCGAUGAGAUUCUCUUCGAGUUAGAGAUUCACAGCUUGCUCAAACGUUUAGAGGCGGCUAGCCCUGGGUCUGGCAAGGCGAUUGUGGAGGAGGCUCUCAGAAACCAAAGAAAGAAGAGUGGCGCCACAGGAAAGGCGUCCGCAGCUGCUUGA
RNAcentral lists this ribosomal RNA (891 nucleotides) under Triticum aestivum (bread wheat). RNAcentral's name for it is "partial small subunit ribosomal RNA". Lineage: Eukaryota; Viridiplantae; Streptophyta; Magnoliopsida; Poales; Poaceae. The record is from RNAcentral.